This 661-nucleotide ribosomal RNA is filed under the name Desulfotalea sp. PR5_B03. RNAcentral describes it as "bacterial SSU rRNA". It matches the Rfam family "Bacterial small subunit ribosomal RNA", at positions 104 to 755 of the family's 1533-position model. The record is from RNAcentral. Lineage: Bacteria; Pseudomonadati; Thermodesulfobacteriota; Desulfobulbia; Desulfobulbales; Desulfocapsaceae.
GGGUGAGUAACGCGUAAGUAAUCUACCCUGAUAUCUGGGAUAACAAUUCCAAAGGAUUGCUAAUACCGGAUACGCUGAUUUAUCAGGAAAGGUGGCCUCUUCAUGAAAGCUACUGUAUCAGGAGGAGCUUGCGUACCAUUAGCUAGUUGGUGGGGUAAUGGCCUACCAAGGCGACGAUGGUUAGCGGGUCUGAGAGGAUGAUCCGCCACACUGGAACUGAAACACGGACCAGACUCCUACGGGAGGCAGCAGUGAGGAAUAUUGCGCAAUGGGGGAAACCCUGACGCAGCGACGCCGCGUGGAUGAUGAAGGCUUUCGGGUCGUAAAAUCCUGUCAGAUGGGAAGAAAUGCUAUGAGGCUAAUACCCUUGUAGUUUGACGGUACCAUCAAAGGAAGCACCGGCUAACUCCGUGCCAGCAGCCGCGGUAAUACGGAGGGUGCAAGCGUUGUUCGGAAUUACUGGGCGUAAAGCGCGCGUAGGCGGCCUUUUAAGUCAGAUGUGAAAGUCCACGGCUCAACCGUGGAAGUGCAUUUGAUACUGGGAGGCUUGAGUACUGGAGGGGAUGGUGGAAUUCCCGGUGUAGAGGUGAAAUUCGUAGAUAUCGGGAGGAAUACCGGUGGCGAAGGCGACCAUCUGGCCAGAUACUGACGCUGAGGUGCG